GUUUCCUCCAUGAAAACGGAUAUACAAAAAUGUUACAUAUGGUAUCUUGUUUGAUUUUGAUAAC
Molecule: non-coding RNA, 64 nt
Organism: Pteropus alecto (black flying fox)
Lineage: Eukaryota; Metazoa; Chordata; Mammalia; Chiroptera; Pteropodidae
Source: Rfam